Silurus meridionalis is the source of this 507-nucleotide long non-coding RNA. RefSeq lists it as uncharacterized. The transcript is spliced from 3 exons. The record is from RefSeq and is a predicted model, not a curated record. NCBI's taxonomy places the organism in Eukaryota, Metazoa, Chordata, Actinopteri, Siluriformes, Siluridae.
UGAGGUUAGAGUUAGCAUGCUGAUUAUUUUCCCAUCACAGCAUAAUGUGUAGGGUGUAAUUAAUUUCAACUUGAUAUUUAUGGAUACUAAAACAAAAAUCACAGCUUAUUGUGUUACCACAAGGACAGCAAGGUGGAAUUCCAAACAGCAUAUAUCGUGUCUCUUUGGAGGAAGGGAGGAAACUGAAAAACCCAGAGGAAACCCCUACAGUAUGGUCACAACAUGCAAAAUCUACACACACACACACACACACACGGUGAAGGCAGGAAUCAAUCCCCCAACCCUGGAGGAAACACGGUAACCCAACAUCAAGUCUUUUAAGAGCGAUAACGUCCUUCAGAGUCCAGUCAGGUUCAGGACUAUCUCUCCACGCUUACUGCACUUCCUGCUGCGGCGAUGAAAACAUCCUGCGGUGCGAAUUUCAAUGCGGAGACAAGAUCCGGCAAUGAAGAGCCACUAAUGGAUGCUAAAUGUAACCUGAACAAUAAAUGUCUGUUUAUGAUUGGA